Molecule: long non-coding RNA, 1429 nt
Organism: Homo sapiens (human)
Lineage: Eukaryota; Metazoa; Chordata; Mammalia; Primates; Hominidae
Product: long intergenic non-protein coding RNA 2054
Source: Ensembl
GGAAAUGGCACCAGGGAAGACCUUCAAAAGAAGGUUUUUUUUUUCCCCUCCCCUCCUCCAGAAAUAGAACUUUUUUUUUUCCGAGAUAGAGUCUUGCUCUGUCUUACCCACGCUGGAGUGCAGUGGCAAGAUCCUGGCUCACUGAAGCCUCCACCUCCCCAGUUCAAGCGAUUCUCCUGUCUCAGACUCCCGAGUAGCUGGGAUUACAGUGUUUGCUGCGCAUCAGGAUGUUUGGUGGACAUUCCAUUGUGGAUGGACCCUGGCUUCUUGCCCAACCGCUUAUGUUGGAAAUGCCCACCAGACUGGACCUCCCUGGAGACCAAACGCAGCCCAUCUUGGGAGCUGGCCAGUGCCACAUCCUCCCCCUCUUGCAGGGACCAGCUGAGUCAGUUGCUCCAUCUCGCACCUCUCAACACCUUCCUGUGUGGCACUGGACCACCUGUGGAAGCCCUGGCAUGCCUUGCUACCAUAGCUCGCAGAAGUUAUGGAGAAAAGGAGGCCCACACAGACUGAGAAAACACCAAGGCGAGGGCAUGGCUGGGAUCCCAGCGCAGGAUCCCCGUUCUUCUGCAGUCACAGUCUUGGCUGAACUGAGCCCUUUCCUCCCAGUGUUUGGCUUGGAUGCUAGACCAGGAACGCCAUGCUUAACAGCCUGUGCCAUUGGUCUGCAGGAGUUGGCAAUUCAGCUGCUGUGACUCUGCUGUCCAUCACCGUAACCAUGUUCACCUCGCCUGUGGCAGUGGAGUGCUGCCACUUGGUCCCUGCGCCCUGAGAUCCAUGACUCCCAUUACAUUUAAGUUUCCAAAUUCAGUGACUGCUUUAUGAAGACUGAGAAGUCCAAGAUCAAGGAGCCGGAUCUGGCGAGAGCCUUCUUGUUGGUGGGGACUCUUUGCAGAGUCCUGAGGUGGCACAGGGCAUCACAUGGUGAGGGGCUGAGUGUGCUAGCUCAGGUGUCUCUUCCUCUUCUUAUAAGGCCACCAGCCCCACUCCCAUGAUAACCCAUGAAUCCAUUCAUCCACAAAUGGAUUAAUCCAGUCAUAAGGGCAGAGCCUCAUGACCCAGUCACUUCUUAAAGGCCCCACCUCUCAACACUGUCAUUUGGAGAUUAAGUUUCAACAUGAGUUUAGGAGGGGAUUAACAUUCAAACCAUAGCAGCAGGGACUGUAACAAGUGAGCUGUCUCCAGGGCCAUGCCUGGCAGCCUCUAUUGGGAGCCUAUUUCUGUGCCCUCCCUUGCCGUGUGCAUCAGGUGAAUAGGGGUGAGGGAUGUCUAAUGUUGAAAGGGACCUGGGGUGGAGGAAUAGAUCACAGGUCAAGGGGAAGGGGAAAUUGGAGGGGAGAAAGCAUGUGUGUAGGUCUCUUCUGGGACCAGGUGAACAGCCAGCCAGAUGCUCAAGUCAGAAACUAGGGCAUCAUCCUGGGCUCCUCCC